AUUGAACGCUAGCGGGAUGCCUUACACAUGCAAGUCGAACGGAGUGGCGAACGGGGGAGUAAUGUAUCGGCACGUGCGCAGUAGCGGGGGAUAACUACGCGAAAGCGUAGCUAAUAACGCAUACUAUUGGAGCGGCCGAUAUCGGAGUAGCUAGUUGGUGUGGUAACGGCUCACCAAGGCGACGAUCCGUAGCUGGUUUGAGAGGACGACCAGCCACACUGGGACUGAGAACCUGCCCAUACUCCGACGGGAGGCAGCAGUGGGGAAUUUUGGACAAGGGGGGAAACCCUGAUCCAGCCAUCCCGCGUGUGCGAUGAAGGCCUUCGGGUUGUAAAGCACUUUCGGCAGGAAAGCGGUACCUGCAGAAUAAGCACCGGCUAACUACGUGCCAGCAGCCGCGGUAAUUC
Molecule: ribosomal RNA, 407 nt
Filed under: uncultured bacterium
Lineage: Bacteria
Description: partial 16S ribosomal RNA
Rfam family: Bacterial small subunit ribosomal RNA
Source: RNAcentral